RNAcentral lists this ribosomal RNA (465 nucleotides) under Vreelandella stevensii. RNAcentral's name for it is "partial 16S ribosomal RNA". It matches the Rfam family "Bacterial small subunit ribosomal RNA", at positions 338 to 795 of the family's 1533-position model. The record is from RNAcentral. Lineage: Bacteria; Pseudomonadati; Pseudomonadota; Gammaproteobacteria; Oceanospirillales; Halomonadaceae.
CCUACGGGGGGCUGCAGUGGGGAAUAUUGGACAAUGGGGGGAACCCUGAUCCAGCCAUGCCGCGUGUGUGAAGAAGGCCCUCGGGUUGUAAAGCACUUUCAGUGAGGAAGAACGCCUGGUGGUUAAUACCCAUCAGGAAAGACAUCACUCACAGAAGAAGCACCGGCUAACUCCGUGCCAGCAGCCGCGGUAAUACGGAGGGUGCGAGCGUUAAUCGGAAUUACUGGGCGUAAAGCGCGCGUAGGCGGCUUGAUAAGCCGGUUGUGAAAGCCCCGGGCUCAACCUGGGAACGGCAUCCGGAACUGUCAGGCUAGAGUGCAGGAGAGGAAGGUAGAAUUCCCGGUGUAGCGGUGAAAUGCGUAGAGAUCGGGAGGAACACCAGUGGCGAAGGCGGCUUUCUGGACUGACACUGACGCUGAGGUGCGAAAGCGUGGGUAGCAAACAGGAUUAGAUACCCGAGUAGUC